GAUGAACGCUGGCGGCGUGCUUAACACAUGCAAGUCGAACGAAGCACCUUGAUUUGAUUCUUCGGAUGAAGAUCUUGGUGACUGAGUGGCGGACGGGUGAGUAACGCGUGGGUCACCUGCCUCAUACAGGGGGAUAACAGUUAGAAAUGACUGCUAAUACCGCAUAAGACCACAGCACCGCAUGGUGCAGGGGUAAAAACUCCGGUGGUAUGAGAUGGACCCGCGUCUGAUUAGGUAGUUGGUGGGGUAACGGCCUACCAAGCCGACGAUCAGUAGCCGACCUGAGAGGGUGACCGGCCACAUUGGGACUGAGACACGGCCCAAACUCCUACGGGAGGCAGCAGUGGGGAAUAUUGCACAAUGGGGGAAACCCUGAUGCAGCGACGCCGCGUGAGCGAUGAAGUAUUUCGGUAUGUAAAGCUCUAUCAGCAGGGAAGAAAAUGACGGUACCUGACUAAGAAGCACCGGCUAAAUACGUG
This 479-nucleotide ribosomal RNA is filed under the name uncultured bacterium. RNAcentral's name for it is "partial 16S ribosomal RNA". It matches the Rfam family "Bacterial small subunit ribosomal RNA", at positions 28 to 507 of the family's 1533-position model. The record is from RNAcentral.